CUUGUUUUUAGUAUAUGGUAUGUGCCACCACUCAUCUUUAGCAAGUAACCUAUUGAUUACCAAUUCUACACUUGUGUUUGAUAUUCAAAUACAUAUGACAGAUAUCUAUGAUGAUUUAAUAUCUCGAAGAGUCAACUUCAGUGAUGCUGAGAAGUUUGCUGAAAUUUGUCCUUGUUGCAAUGGAGUUGGAUGGGGAGUCAUAUGGGGAAUGAUAUCAUUUACAUUUCUUUGUGGAUCAAUGUAUUUGGGACUUGUCAUCUUAUCAUGAGGAUUAGAGUCUUGGGUCCAAACUCAUCUUAGGGUUGCAGAGAACUCAUAUAUCUGUGUUUCAUUCCAAAUUUUGUAGCCUGAUUCAAUUGAUACUAAAAAAUAUUUAUGCCUUCAUUCUUUUAACCCUUUUUAUUGAGGGUUACAUGUGAUUAUUUUCAUAAUUUUUUAUAGGAGCUUUUUAUUUUACUCGUAUAUAUCUAUUCUUGUAGAGG
Humulus lupulus (European hop) is the source of this 482-nucleotide long non-coding RNA. RefSeq lists it as uncharacterized. NCBI's taxonomy places the organism in Eukaryota, Viridiplantae, Streptophyta, Magnoliopsida, Rosales, Cannabaceae. The transcript has 3 exons. The record is from RefSeq and is a predicted model, not a curated record.